RNAcentral lists this ribosomal RNA (462 nucleotides) under uncultured bacterium. RNAcentral's name for it is "partial 16S ribosomal RNA". It matches the Rfam family "Bacterial small subunit ribosomal RNA", at positions 28 to 507 of the family's 1533-position model. The record is from RNAcentral.
GACGAACGCUGGCGGCGUGCUUAACACAUGCAAGUCGAGCGGUAAGGCCUUUCGGGGUCCACGAGCGGCGAACGGGUGAGUAACACGUGGGUGAUCUGCCCUGCACUUCGGGAUAAGCCUGGGAAACUGGGUCUAAUACCGGAUAUGACCUCCUAUCGCAUGGUGGGUGGUGGAAAGAUUUAUCGGUGCAGGAUGGGCCCGCGGCCUAUCAGCUUGUUGGUGGGGUAAUGGCCUACCAAGGCGACGACGGGUAGCCGACCUGAGAGGGUGACCGGCCACACUGGGACUGAGACACGGCCCAGACUCCUACGGGAGGCAGCAGUGGGGAAUAUUGCACAGUGGGCGAAAGCCUGAUGCAGCGACGCCGCGUGAGGGAUGACGGCCUUCGGGUUGUAAACCUCUUUCAGCAGGGACGAAGCGCAAGUGACGGUACCUGCAGAAGAAGCACCGGCUAACUACGUG